AUGUCUUAUACUCUUUAACCUCAAUGUUCUUGAGUUCCCAUCAUCUUUUAUCGAAAUUUGGAACAGGUGGAGGCAUUCCCAUUUUGUUAAAACUAAGUUCCCUGCUUUAGAAUGUCUUCUUAAAACUGCUAUUUGAUGCACCUAGAAAGAACGCAACCUCCGAGUCUUUCAUCACCAAGCCAAUAUACCUCCCAUGACGGCAAGGAAAAUAGUUAAUACAUUUGUAAGCUGGGCGUCGGUAAUCUCCCACCCAAACAUUAAAUUCUUGAUUUUUCAGCUCCCUU
This 284-nucleotide long non-coding RNA is filed under the name Elaeis guineensis (African oil palm). Its description in RNAcentral is "long non-coding RNA (EGUI_LNC017990)". The record is from RNAcentral. Lineage: Eukaryota; Viridiplantae; Streptophyta; Magnoliopsida; Arecales; Arecaceae.